This 496-nucleotide ribosomal RNA is filed under the name uncultured bacterium. RNAcentral describes it as "partial 16S ribosomal RNA". It matches the Rfam family "Bacterial small subunit ribosomal RNA", at positions 29 to 507 of the family's 1533-position model. The record is from RNAcentral.
AUGAACGCUGGCGGCGUGCCUAAUACAUGCAAGUCGAGCGAACAGACGAGGAGCUUGCUCCUCUGACGUUAGCGGCGGACGGGUGAGUAACACGUGGAUAACCUACCUAUAAGACUGGGAUAACUUCGGGAAACCGGAGCUAAUACCGGAUAAUAUAUUGAACCGCAUGGUUCAAUAGUGAAAGACGGUUUUGCUGUCACUUAUAGAUGGAUCCGCGCCGCAUUAGCUAGUUGGUAAGGUAACGGCUUACCAAGGCAACGAUGCGUAGCCGACCUGAGAGGGUGAUCGGCCACACUGGAACUGAGACACGGUCCAGACUCCUACGGGAGGCAGCAGUAGGGAAUCUUCCGCAAUGGGCGAAAGCCUGACGGAGCAACGCCGCGUGAGUGAUGAAGGUCUUCGGAUCGUAAAACUCUGUUAUUAGGGAAGAACAAAUGUGUAAGUAAAUAUGCACGUCUUGACGGUACCUAAUCAGAAAGCCACGGCUAACUACGUG